RNAcentral lists this ribosomal RNA (505 nucleotides) under Meyerozyma caribbica. RNAcentral describes it as "LSU rRNA". It matches the Rfam family "Eukaryotic large subunit ribosomal RNA", at positions 125 to 646 of the family's 3401-position model. Lineage: Eukaryota; Fungi; Ascomycota; Pichiomycetes; Serinales; Debaryomycetaceae. The record is from RNAcentral.
GCACCUUCGGUGUCCGAGUUGUAAUUUGAAGAUUGUAACCUUGGGGUUGGCUCUUGUCUAUGUUUCUUGGAACAGGACGUCACAGAGGGUGAGAAUCCCGUGCGAUGAGAUGCCCAAUCCUAUGUAAGGUGCUUUCGAAGAGUCGAGUUGUUUGGGAAUGCAGCUCUAAGUGGGUGGUAAAUUCCAUCUAAAGCUAAAUAUUGGCGAGAGACCGAUAGCGAACAAGUACAGUGAUGGAAAGAUGAAAAGAACUUUGAAAAGAGAGUGAAAAAGUACGUGAAAUUGUUGAAAGGGAAGGGUUUGAGAUCAGACUCGAUAUUUUGUGAGCCUUGCCUUCGUGGCGGGGUGACCCGCAGCUUAUCGGGCCAGCAUCGGUUUGGGCGGUAGGAUAAUGGCGUAGGAAUGUGACUUUGCUUCGGUGAAGUGUUAUAGCCUGCGUUGAUGCUGCCUGCCUAGACCGAGGACUGCGAUUUUAUCAAGGAUGCUGGCAUAAUGAUCCCAAACC